This 623-nucleotide ribosomal RNA is filed under the name uncultured bacterium. RNAcentral's name for it is "bacterial SSU rRNA". The stretch from base 1 to 546 matches the Rfam family "Bacterial small subunit ribosomal RNA", at positions 338 to 873 of the family's 1533-position model. The record is from RNAcentral.
CCUACGGGAGGCAGCAGUGGGGAAUCUUGCGCAAUGGGCGAAAGCCUGACGCAGCGACGCCGCGUGAGUGAUGAAGGCCUUCGGGUUGUAAAGCUCUGUGGGGAGAGACGAAUAAGUAGGGGUCAAUACCCUCUGCGAUGACGGUAUCUCCUUAGCAAGCACCGGCUAACUCUGUGCCAGCAGCCGCGGUAAGACAGAGGGUGCAAACGUUGUUCGGAAUUACUGGGCGUAAAGCGUGUGUAGGCGGCUUUGCAAGUCGGAUGUGAAAGCCCCGGGCUCAACCCGGGAAGUGCACUCGAUACUGCAGAGCUUGAGUGUCGGAGAGGUUGGUGGAAUUCUCGGUGUAGAGGUGAAAUUCGUAGAUAUCGAGAGGAACACCGGCGGCGAAGGCGGCCAACUGGACGAACACUGACGCUGAGACACGAAAGCGUGGGGAGCAAACAGGAUUAGAUACCCUGGUAGUCCACGCCGUAAACGAUGGGUGCUAGGUGUCACGAGUCUUUGACUCUCGUGGUGCCGUAGCGUAACGCGUUAAGCCGACCCGUCGUGGGAAGUUCGGCCGCGAAGGCUAAACGCGAAAGGAGUAGCGGCGNGNGAGNGCGACGACGACGACGAGGAGGAGG